This 314-nucleotide ribosomal RNA is filed under the name uncultured bacterium. Its description in RNAcentral is "bacterial SSU rRNA". It matches the Rfam family "Bacterial small subunit ribosomal RNA", at positions 439 to 771 of the family's 1533-position model. The record is from RNAcentral.
GCAGGGAAGAAAGUGACGGUCCCUGAGUAAGAAGCCCCGGCCAACUACGUUCAAGCAGCCGCGGUAAUACGUAGGUGGCAAGCGUUGUCCGGAAUUACUGGGUGUAAAGGGAGCGUAGGCGGGGAGACAAGUUGAAUGUUUAAACUAUCGGCUCAACUGAUAGUCGCGUUCAAAACUAUCACUCUUGAGUGCAGUAGAGGUAGGCGGAAUUCCUAGUGUAGCGGUGAAAUGCGUAGAUAUUAGGAGGAACACCAGUGGCGAAGGCGGCCUACUGGGCUGUAACUGACGCUGAGGCUCGAAAGCGUGGGUAGCAA